Molecule: ribosomal RNA, 450 nt
Filed under: uncultured bacterium
Lineage: Bacteria
Description: bacterial SSU rRNA
Rfam family: Bacterial small subunit ribosomal RNA
Source: RNAcentral
GUGGGGAAUAUUGGACAAUGGGCGAAAGCCUGAUCCAGUCAUGCCGCGUGUGUGAAGAAGGUCUUCGGAUUGUAAAGCACUUUAAGUUGGGAGGAAGGGCAGUAAGUUAAUACCUUGCUGUUUUGACGUUACCAACAGAAUAAGCACCGGCUAACUUCGUGCCAGCAGCCGCGGUAAUACGAAGGGUGCAAGCGUUAAUCGGAAUUACUGGGCGUAAAGCGCGCGUAGGUGGUUCAGCAAGUUGAAGGUGAAAUCCCCGGGCUCAACCUGGGAACUGCCUCCAAAACUACUGAGCUAGAGUACGGUAGAGGGUAGUGGAAUUUCCUGUGUAGCGGUGAAAUGCGUAGAUAUAGGAAGGAACACCAGUGGCGAAGGCGACUACCUGGACUGAUACUGACACUGAGGUGCGAAAGCGUGGGGAGCAAACAGGAUUAGAAACCCUGGUAGUCC